GGGAACAUAUUGUGCUUCACCUCCGUACCCUUCAUCUGCUUCGUAGCUGAACUUCCCAAUGGUGAUUUCUUGUCCACCGCAGUUUAUAUGCAAUGAAUAACGAUCUUUUGAACAAGGAAGGCUGCCCAAGCACUCCACAGCCUUUGAGUUGUUCCCUCCAUAAGAGCUUUUGAACAAAUUCAGAUUAUCUCGACAAGCAACUGGGACAGAAGUUUCAGAAAAAUUAUUGUAAGAAAUAU
Molecule: unclassified non-coding RNA, 239 nt
Filed under: Hevea brasiliensis (rubber tree)
Lineage: Eukaryota; Viridiplantae; Streptophyta; Magnoliopsida; Malpighiales; Euphorbiaceae
Source: RNAcentral